RNAcentral lists this ribosomal RNA (269 nucleotides) under uncultured prokaryote. Its description in RNAcentral is "partial 16S ribosomal RNA". It matches the Rfam family "Bacterial small subunit ribosomal RNA", at positions 524 to 792 of the family's 1533-position model. The record is from RNAcentral.
UACGUAGGUGGCAAGCGUUGUCCGGAUUUACUGGGUGUAAAGGGCGUGUAGGCGGGCCUGUUAGUCAGAAGUGAAAUCCCCGGGCUUAACCCGGGAACUGCUUCUGAAACUGCAGGUCUUGAGUACUGGAGAGGAAAGUGGAAUUCCUAGUGUAGCGGUGAAAUGCGUAGAUAUUAGGAGGAACACCAGUGGCGAAGGCGACUUUCUGGACAGAAACUGACGCUGAGGCGCGAAAGCGUGGGGAGCAAACAGGAUUAGAUACCCCCGUA